This is a long non-coding RNA of Gorilla gorilla gorilla (western lowland gorilla), 335 nucleotides long. RefSeq lists it as uncharacterized. The transcript is spliced from 3 exons. The record is from RefSeq and is a predicted model, not a curated record. Lineage: Eukaryota; Metazoa; Chordata; Mammalia; Primates; Hominidae.
AUCUACAAGUAGUCCAGGAAGAGGGGGAGAAGAUCCCUUUAGGUGUGGAGGAAGAAUGGACUGGAAAGUAGAGACCCUGAGAUCCAGGACGGAAGGAGGGAAGAGGCUCGCUUGACUGUCAUAAGCUUGAUUUUGCUGAAACAGACCCCAGAAAGGGCAGUGAUGAGAGAUGAGGCCACAAUACAGAUAUCCAAUUAUUUCAGCAUCACUUGCUAAAAAUACUUUCCUUUCGUCUUUGGAUUCCACUGGCAACUUUAUUGAAAAAUCAGAUAACUACGAACACAAAGAGAAGGCGGAAAUCUUCAAGUCAGAAAGAGAGCUCACUGAAACCGGAC